Molecule: ribosomal RNA, 433 nt
Filed under: uncultured bacterium
Lineage: Bacteria
Description: partial 16S ribosomal RNA
Rfam family: Bacterial small subunit ribosomal RNA
Source: RNAcentral
AACGAACGCUGGCGGCAUGCCUAACACAUGCAAGUCGAACGAGACCUUCGGGUCUAGUGGCGCACGGGUGCGUAACGCGUGGGAACCUGCCCUUAGGUUCGGAAUAACUCCCCGAAAGGGGUGCUAAUACCGGAUAAUGUCUUCGGACCAAAGAUUUAUCGCCUUUGGAUGGGCCCGCGUUGGAUUAGCUAGUUGGUAGGGUAAAAGCCUACCAAGGCGACGAUCCAUAGCUGGUCUGAGAGGAUGAUCAGCCACACUGGGACUGAGACACGGCCCAGACUCCUACGGGAGGCAGCAGUGGGGAAUAUUGGACAAUGGGCGAAAGCCUGAUCCAGCAAUGCCGCGUGAGUGAUGAAGGCCGUAGGGUUGCAAAGCUCUUUUACCCGGGAUGAUAAUGGCAGUACCGGGAGAAUAAGCUCCGGCUAACUCCGUG